UACGUAGGGGGCAAGCGUUGUCCGGAUUUAUUGGGCGUAAAGAGCGUGUAGGCGGCUUUGCAAGUCCGUUGUGAAAACUCGAGGCUCAACCUCGAGACGCCGUGGAAACUGCAAAGCUAGAGUCCGGAAGAGGAGAGUGGAAUUCCUGGUGUAGCGGUGAAAUGCGCAGAUAUCAGGAGGAACACCCGUGGCGAAAGCGGCUCUCUGGGACGGUACUGACGCUGAGACGCGAAAGCGUGGGGAGCGAACAGG
Molecule: ribosomal RNA, 252 nt
Filed under: uncultured bacterium
Lineage: Bacteria
Description: partial 16S ribosomal RNA
Rfam family: Bacterial small subunit ribosomal RNA
Source: RNAcentral